Transfer RNA from Paramecium tetraurelia, 72 nucleotides. It matches the Rfam family "tRNA". From Rfam's summary of the family: Transfer RNA (tRNA) molecules are approximately 80 nucleotides in length. Their secondary structure includes four short double-helical elements and three loops (D, anti-codon, and T loops). Lineage: Eukaryota; Ciliophora; Oligohymenophorea; Peniculida; Parameciidae. The record is from Rfam.
GCCAUCUUCGUAUAGUGGUUAGUACUUAGCGUUGUGGCCGCUAAAGCCCAGGUUCAAUUCCUGGAGGUGGCA